Molecule: microRNA precursor, 121 nt
Organism: Procavia capensis (Cape rock hyrax)
Lineage: Eukaryota; Metazoa; Chordata; Mammalia; Hyracoidea; Procaviidae
Source: Ensembl
GCGACUUCGAGACUGAGGGGUGGUCGUCCAUCCCGGACGAGCCCCCAAAUGAAAGGACCCCCAACAGGGGAGACCCCUCCUCAAGUCACAGGUGACGGCGCAACCCCAAUCAGUCACGGAG